GACCCCGUAGCUCAGUUGGAUAGAGCGGCGGUUUCCUAAACCGCAGGCCACAGGUUCGAUUCCUGUCGGGGUCG
This 74-nucleotide transfer RNA is filed under the name Corallococcus praedator. RNAcentral's name for it is "Corallococcus sp. CA031B tRNA-Arg". It matches the Rfam family "tRNA". Rfam says of the family: Transfer RNA (tRNA) molecules are approximately 80 nucleotides in length. Their secondary structure includes four short double-helical elements and three loops (D, anti-codon, and T loops). Lineage: Bacteria; Pseudomonadati; Myxococcota; Myxococcia; Myxococcales; Myxococcaceae. The record is from RNAcentral. RNAcentral also lists the same sequence under 4 other names.